GAUGAAGAACGUAGCAAAAUGCGAUACUUGGUGUGAAUUGCAGAAUCCCGUGAACCAUCGAGUUUUUGAACGCAAGUUGCGCCCGAAGCCUUUUGGCCGAGGGCACGUCUGCCUGGGCGUCACACAUCGCGUCGCCCCCCACAACUCUCCGUAAAGGGAACUUGUGUUUUGGGGGCGGAUAUUGGUCUCCCGUGCUCAUGGCGUGGUUGGCCGAAAUAGGAGUCCCUCCGGUGGACGCACGAACUAGUGGUGGUCGUAAAAACCCUCGUCUUUUGUUUCGUGCCGUUAGUCGCGAGGGAAACUCUUUAAAAACCCAAAUGUGUCGUCUCUUGACGGCGCUUCGACCGCGACCCCAGGUCAGGCGGGACAACCCGCUGAGUUUAAGCAUAUCAAUAAGCGGAGGA
Molecule: unclassified non-coding RNA, 404 nt
Filed under: soil metagenome
Description: partial contains 5.8S ribosomal RNA, internal transcribed spacer 2, and large subunit ribosomal RNA
Rfam family: 5.8S ribosomal RNA (bases 1-122)
Source: RNAcentral